Pelobates cultripes (western spadefoot toad) is the source of this 217-nucleotide non-coding RNA. The record is from the annotation of a GenBank genome assembly. Lineage: Eukaryota; Metazoa; Chordata; Amphibia; Anura; Pelobatidae.
GCCUGUUGUAUGUUUUCUGAAGUUUUCAGGAAGAAAAUGUCUUGUAGAUGCAGCUAUGGAUAUUCAUAAAUCCAAAAAAUCAAUAUAUGAGAGUUACCAUUUAGAUGUAAAAAAUAAAUUUACAUUAUUCAUGUUUAGAAAAUCCACAACAUUUUGGAUCUCACUCUGAUGUUCCUUUCAAUUAAAUUAAAGAUCAUUGAUACAAAAACAAUAAAAG